Molecule: ribosomal RNA, 522 nt
Filed under: uncultured bacterium
Lineage: Bacteria
Description: partial 16S ribosomal RNA
Rfam family: Bacterial small subunit ribosomal RNA
Source: RNAcentral
UGGGGAAUUUUGGACAAUGGGGGAAACCCUGAUCCAGCCAUCCCGCGUGUGCGAUGAAGGCCUUCGGGUUGUAAAGCACUUUUGGCAGGAAAGAAACGUCGCGGGUUAAUACCCCCGCNAAACUGACGGUACCUGCAGAAUAAGCACCGGCUAACUACGUGCCAGCAGCCGCGGUGAUACGUAGGGUGCAAGCGUUAAUCGGAAUUACUGGGCGUAAAGCGUGCGCAGGCGGUUCGGAAAGAAAGAUGUGAAAUCCCNGAGCUUAACUUUGGAACUGCAUUUUUAAACUACCGGGCUAGAGUGUGUCAGAGGGAGGUGGAAUUCCGCGUGUAGCAGUGAAAUGCGUAGNUAUGCGGAGGAACACCGAUGGCGAAGGCAGCCUCCUGGGAUAACACUGACGCUCAUGCACGAAAGCGUGGGGAGCAAACAGGAUUAGAUACCCUGGUAGUCCACGCCCUAAACGAUGUCAACUAGCUGUUGGGGCCUUCGGGCCUUGGUAGGCGCAGGCUAACGCGUGAAGUU